GAUGAACGCUGGCGGCGUGCCUAACACAUGCAAGUCGAGCGGCAGCGGGGGGUGCUUGCACCCUGUCGGCGAGCGGCGGACGGCUGAGUAACGCGUGGGAACGUGCCCCAAAGUGAGGAAUAACUGCCCGAAAGGGUAGCUAAUACCGCAUAUUAUCUUCGGAUCAAAGGAUUUAUCCGCUUUGGGAGCGGCUCGCGUCGGAUUAGGUAGUUGGUGAGGUAAUGGCUCACCAAGCCGACGAUCCGUAGCUGGUCUGAGAGGAUGACCAGCCAGACUGGAACUGAGACACGGUCCAGACUCCUACGGGAGGCAGCAGUGAGGAAUCUUCCACAAUGGGCGAAAGCCUGAUGGAGCAACGCCGCGUGCAGGACGAAGGCCUUCGGGUUGUAAACUGCUUUUAUAAGUGAGGAAUAUGACGGUAACUUAUGGAUAAGGAUCGGCUAACUACGUG
Molecule: ribosomal RNA, 451 nt
Filed under: uncultured bacterium
Lineage: Bacteria
Description: partial 16S ribosomal RNA
Rfam family: Bacterial small subunit ribosomal RNA
Source: RNAcentral